Molecule: long non-coding RNA, 237 nt
Filed under: Homo sapiens (human)
Lineage: Eukaryota; Metazoa; Chordata; Mammalia; Primates; Hominidae
Description: non-protein coding lnc-MIS18A-5:1
Source: RNAcentral
GCCAGGCAUGGUGGCACGCGCCUGUAAUUCCAGCUGCUCUGGAGCGAGAGGAGAUCCUGACCAGGGUUCCGGCUUUCCUGGUUCACAAGUUGGCACUAGUGCUUCCUGGAGCAGGAGACCACCAGGUUACCUAAGGAGAGGUGAACUGGCCUAGGUUGGAAACAGAACAGGUCAAAACUCCUGUGCUGAUCAGUAGUGGGAUUGCGCCUAUGAAUAGCCAUUGCACCAUUGCACUCC